Molecule: non-coding RNA, 39 nt
Filed under: Alexandrium minutum
Lineage: Eukaryota; Dinophyceae; Gonyaulacales; Pyrocystaceae
Source: RNAcentral
UUUUUUUUUUUUUUUUUUUUUUUUUUUUUUUUUUUUCCU